Long non-coding RNA from Ostrea edulis (European flat oyster), 332 nucleotides. RefSeq lists it as uncharacterized. The record is from RefSeq and is a predicted model, not a curated record. NCBI's taxonomy places the organism in Eukaryota, Metazoa, Mollusca, Bivalvia, Ostreida, Ostreidae. The transcript is spliced from 2 exons.
AAAAAAAAAAACAAAACUUGUAUAUCAACCAUUUAGAGCAUUUCAAUGACUGACUAUAACAUUUUGGCAUGUUGUGUGGUAUAUUUGACAUGUUUCUAUUAUAAGGGUAUACUCUAAGAUGUGGGCGUUGUGAAGGACUGUUGCAGUACAUAAUAUACAUUUGAUCAAGUGACUGAAAAUGUAGGCCUUGUUAAAAUUGAUUAAUGGAGAUGCUAUUGAAUGUGAAAGUUGAAAUUGGCCCAGUGGUUCUUGAGAAGAAGUCAGAAAUGUGAAAGUUUACAGACAGACGGACAACAGGGGAUUGGAAAAGCUCACUUGAAUUUUCAGCUCAG